This 68-nucleotide transfer RNA is filed under the name Marmota monax (woodchuck). RNAcentral's name for it is "tRNA.Cys". The record is from RNAcentral. Lineage: Eukaryota; Metazoa; Chordata; Mammalia; Rodentia; Sciuridae.
GGUUUGAAGCUCAGUGGUAGAGAGCUUGCCUACAAUGCAUGAGACCCUGGGUUUGACCCUCAGCACCA